RNAcentral lists this ribosomal RNA (656 nucleotides) under bacterium enrichment culture clone bHCH6_F12. Its description in RNAcentral is "bacterial SSU rRNA". It matches the Rfam family "Bacterial small subunit ribosomal RNA", at positions 60 to 695 of the family's 1533-position model. The record is from RNAcentral.
AGUCGAACGGGGAAUUAGCAAUAAAUUCUUAGUGGCGAACGGGUGAGUAACGCGUGGAUAACCUACCUUUCAGACGGGGACAACAUUCCGAAAGGAGUGCUAAUACCGGAUGAGCUGACCGCAGCGCAUGCAGCGGUUAAGAAAGAUGGCCUCUUUACAAUGCUAUCGCUGAAAGAUGGGUCUGCGUCUGAUUAGCUGGUUGGCGGGGUAAAGGCCCACCAAGGCGACGAUCAGUAGCCGGUCUGAGAGGAUGAACGGCCACACUGGGACUGAGACACGGCCCAGACUCCUACGGGAGGCAGCAGUGGGGAAUCUUCCGCAAUGGACGAAAGUCUGACGGAGCAACGCCGCGUGAGUGAAGAAGGUUUUCGGAUCGUAAAGCUCUGUUCUUAGGGACGAACGGCUGAAGCGUGAAUAAUGCUUUGGAUUGACGGUACCUAAGGAGAAAGCCACGGCUAACUACGUGCCAGCAGCCGCGGUAAUACGUAGGUGGCGAGCGUUGUCCGGAAUUAUUGGGCGUAAAGGGCGUGUAGGUGGAAUGGUAAGUCUGUUGUAAAAGUGCGGGGCUCAACCCCGUGAAGCAAUGGAAACUGUCGUUCUUUGAGUGCAGGAGAGGAAAAGUGGACUUCCCAGUGUAGCGGGUGAAAUGCGUAGAU